This 45-nucleotide non-coding RNA is filed under the name Trichobilharzia regenti. Lineage: Eukaryota; Metazoa; Platyhelminthes; Trematoda; Strigeidida; Schistosomatidae. The record is from RNAcentral.
UUCCAGAUGACGAGUCCCAGAUAGGACGAAGUGAGCAUCCUGGAU